CCUACGGGCGGCAGCAGUGAGGAAUAUUGGUCAAUGGGCGAGAGCCUGAACCAGCCAAGUCGCGUGAGGGAGUACUGCCCUAUGGGUUGUAAACCUCUUUUGUCGGGGAGCAAAAGCCGGACGUGUCCGGCUGUGAGAGUACCCGAAGAAAAAGCAUCGGCUAACUCCGUGCCAGCAGCCGCGGUAAUACGGAGGAUGCGAGCGUUAUCCGGAUUUAUUGGGGUUAAAGGGUGAGCAGGCGGAUUUUUAAGUCAGCGGUCAAAUCGUGGGGCUCAACCCCAUCCAGCCGUUGAAACUGGGGAUCUAGAGUGUGCGAGAGGUAUGCGGAAUGCGUGGUGUAGCGGUGAAAUGCAUAGAUAUCACGCAGAACCCCGAUCGCGAAGGCAGCAUACCGGUGCACAACUGACGCUCAGGCACGAAAGCGUGGGUAUCGAACAGGAUUAGAUACCCGUGUAGUC
RNAcentral lists this ribosomal RNA (458 nucleotides) under uncultured bacterium. Its description in RNAcentral is "partial 16S ribosomal RNA". It matches the Rfam family "Bacterial small subunit ribosomal RNA", at positions 338 to 795 of the family's 1533-position model. The record is from RNAcentral.